CGGAUUGCAGUCUGAAACUCGAGUGCAUGAAGCUGGAAUCGCUAGUAAUCGCAAAUCAGAAUGUUGCGGUGAAUACGUUCCCGGGUCUUGUACACACCGCCCGUCACACCAUGGGAGUUGGAAAUGCCCGAAGUCAGUGACCCAACCUAAGGGAGGGAGCUGCCGAAGGCAGGUUCGAUGACUGGGGUGAAGUCGUAACAAGGUACC
RNAcentral lists this ribosomal RNA (207 nucleotides) under uncultured bacterium. RNAcentral's name for it is "partial 16S ribosomal RNA". It matches the Rfam family "Bacterial small subunit ribosomal RNA", at positions 1294 to 1500 of the family's 1533-position model. The record is from RNAcentral.